Molecule: unclassified non-coding RNA, 272 nt
Filed under: rhizosphere metagenome
Description: partial ribosomal RNA internal transcribed spacer region
Source: RNAcentral
GUAGGUGAACCUGCGGAAGGAUCAUUAACACUUUAUAUUAUCCAAUAUAUCAAAAACCAAACGGCAACUUUUCCCCUCCCUAUUCGUAAUCAGAGAUGGUUCGAUUAGGCUAAACUCUUUUUUAUUCAAACACCUUCUAUAUUAAAUAACACUUUUCGUUUUUUGGGAUAAUUCCAUCAACGAACUAACUAAAAUAUACAUUGAUAUAUUUUUCUCUACGAAAUAAUAUAUUUCUAUAAGAACAACUCUUAGCAAUGGAUAUCUUGGUUCUC